RNAcentral lists this ribosomal RNA (243 nucleotides) under uncultured bacterium. RNAcentral's name for it is "partial 16S ribosomal RNA". It matches the Rfam family "Bacterial small subunit ribosomal RNA", at positions 91 to 334 of the family's 1533-position model. The record is from RNAcentral.
UACAGUGGCGCACGGGUGAGUAACACGUGGAUCAUCUACCUCUUGGUGGGGAAUACCCCUGGGAAACCGGGGAUAAUACCGCAUAAGCUGCUCCUUUUAAUAAGGAACCAGAAAAGCCGCAAGGCGCCGGAAGAGGAGUCCGCGGCCGAUUAGCUAGUUGGCGGGGUAACGGCCCACCAAGGCGAAGAUCGGUAGCCGGCCUGAGAGGGCACACGGCCACACUGGCACUGAAACACGGGCCAG